CUCACCUCCUUUGAGACUCAUACAGAGGAAGUUGUACAGCUUGGACAGGGAUAGCUUGAGUUCCAGCUCUAACUGAACUGUGUGGCCUCAGCUCAGUCAGAUUGAGGAAGACAAGCACGAUCUCAGCUGACGACUUUGGUACCCACUCAAUGGGCUAGAUCUUCUCAAUGGGUGACUCUCUUGCCUUCUGAGGGGUAGAGGAUGCUUCUUCCAGCUCACAAGAUUUUGUAGGAAGAAUUUAUUGAGAGAAAGCUUGUCUAAGAGAGACAGAAGACUGACCAGAAAGUGGGUUGCCUGACCACUCUACUUCCCAGUGGUAUUUUAUUGAGCAAAGCCAUGAGGUGAGGUGGGUAUAACGUGG
RNAcentral lists this long non-coding RNA (361 nucleotides) under Heterocephalus glaber (naked mole-rat). Its description in RNAcentral is "lncRNA (ENSHGLG00100038207.1)". The record is from RNAcentral. Lineage: Eukaryota; Metazoa; Chordata; Mammalia; Rodentia; Bathyergidae.